This 908-nucleotide ribosomal RNA is filed under the name uncultured bacterium. RNAcentral describes it as "bacterial SSU rRNA". It matches the Rfam family "Bacterial small subunit ribosomal RNA", at positions 583 to 1479 of the family's 1533-position model. The record is from RNAcentral.
GUAAGUCGGUCUAAAUGCGGGGCUCAACCCGUGAGGGGAUCGAAACUAUCAUUCUUGAGUGCAGGAGAGGAAAGCGGAAUUCCCAGUGUAGCGGUGAAAUGCGUAGAUAUUGGGAGGAACACCAGUGGCGAAGGCGGCUUUCUGGACUGUAACUGACGCUGAGGCUCGUGAAAGCCAUGGGGUAGCGUAACCGGGAUUAGAUACCCCCGGUUAGUCCUGUGCCGUAAUAUCGAUGAAUUAACUAGGUGUUAGGAAUGUUUAUCGUACCCCUUCUGUGCCGGAGUUAACGCAAUAAGUAUUCCGCCUGGGGAGUACGGUCGCAAGACUGAAACUCAAAGGAAUUGACGGGGGCCCGCACAAGCGGUGGAGUUAUGUGGUUUAAUUCGACGCAACGCGAAGAACCUUACCAGGUCUUGACAUUGAGUGAAAAGCAUAGAGAUAUGCUCCUCUCAUCGGAGACACGAAAACAGUUGGUGCAUGGCUGUCGUCAGCUCGUGUCGUGAGAUGUUGGGUUAAGUCCCGCUAACGAGCGCAACCCCUAUACUUUGUUGCCAGCACGUAAAGUGGGAACUCAAAGUAGACUGCCGUCGGACAACGCGGAGGAAGGCGGGGAUGACGUCAAGUCAUCAUGCCCCUUAUGACCUGGGCUACACACGUACUACAAUGGGAAGGACAGAGAGCAGCGAAAGGGCGACCUCAAGCGAACCUCAAAAACCUUCUCCCAGUUCGGAUUGCAGGCUGCAACCCGCCUGCAUGAAGUCGGAAUCGCUAGUAAUCGCAGGUCAGCAUACUGCGGUGAAUACGUUCCCGGGCCUUGUACACACCGCCCGUCACACCACGGAAGUCAUUCACACCCGAAGCCGGUGGAUUAACCGAGGAGAUAGCCGUCUAAGUGGGCGAUGACUGGG